UAAGCUUUAAGAUCAAAAGCAUUCAUGCAUGUUUUCAUGUUAUAUCCUUUUUAUUGUUUGUGUGUGAUGAUGUUAUAGAUUUUUCAGCCAUUUGUUUUGAUCUUAACCAAAUAAAAAAAAAAAAAAUUCAACAUGAGAAUUAAAAACACUAGAAUAGAUUAGAAUAGUAACUUGUAAAUACUAGAAUAGACUAGAUUAUUGUAAUAGAAUACUCAAAUAGAUUGUGGUGUGUAAUGUAAUAGUAUUUUAGAAAAAUAAUAUUCAUUGCAUGUAUUGAAUAUUUCCUUAAAAAAUAAUAUUUAAGUGGGUAAAAAAAAUUUGGGACAGGCAAUGUAUUUGAUGGAGUUAGGAAUCUAAAUCAUAAAACAAUGAAAGAGAAGAAUGAAAAGA
RNAcentral lists this unclassified non-coding RNA (390 nucleotides) under Hevea brasiliensis (rubber tree). Lineage: Eukaryota; Viridiplantae; Streptophyta; Magnoliopsida; Malpighiales; Euphorbiaceae. The record is from RNAcentral.